RNAcentral lists this unclassified non-coding RNA (342 nucleotides) under soil metagenome. Its description in RNAcentral is "partial contains 5.8S ribosomal RNA, internal transcribed spacer 2, and large subunit ribosomal RNA". The stretch from base 1 to 120 matches the Rfam family "5.8S ribosomal RNA", at positions 35 to 154 of the family's 154-position model. The record is from RNAcentral.
GAUGAAGAACGCAGCGAAAUGCGAUAAGUAGUGUGAAUUGCAGAAUUCAGCGAAUCAUCGAAUCUUUGAACGCACAUUGCGGCCAUAGGUAUUCCUUUGGCCAUGCCUGUUCGAGCGUCAUUUACACCCUCAAGCCUAGCUUGGUGUUGGGCGUCUGUCCCGCCGUUCUCGCGCGCGGACUCGCCUCAAAGUCAUUGGCGGCGGUCGUGCCGGCCCCCUCGCGCAGCACAUUUGCGCUUCUCGGAGGCCCGGCGGAUCCGCGCUCCAGCAAGACCUUUCACGACUUGACCUCGGAUCAGGUAGGGAUACCCGCUGAACUUAAGCAUAUCAAUAAGCGGAGGA